GCCUUUGUGAUGUAACUGGAAGCACACUCGACGCUAAUUCGGGAGAUCCAAAGUUCGAAUCCUGGCAAAGGCA
Molecule: transfer RNA, 73 nt
Filed under: Stegodyphus mimosarum
Lineage: Eukaryota; Metazoa; Arthropoda; Arachnida; Araneae; Eresidae
Rfam family: tRNA
About the family: Transfer RNA (tRNA) molecules are approximately 80 nucleotides in length. Their secondary structure includes four short double-helical elements and three loops (D, anti-codon, and T loops).
Source: Rfam by way of RNAcentral